Molecule: ribosomal RNA, 468 nt
Filed under: uncultured bacterium
Lineage: Bacteria
Description: partial 16S ribosomal RNA
Rfam family: Bacterial small subunit ribosomal RNA
Source: RNAcentral
GACGAACGCUGGCGGCGUGCUUAACACAUGCAAGUCGAACGGAAAGGCCCUGCUUUUGUGGGGUGCUCGAGUGGCGAACGGGUGAGUAACACGUGAGUAACCUGCCCUUGACUUUGGGAUAACUUCAGGAAACUGGGGCUAAUACCGGAUAGGAGCUCCUGCUGCAUGGUGGGGGUUGGAAAGUUUCGGCGGUUGGGGAUGGACUCGCGGCUUAUCAGCUUGUUGGUGGGGUAGUGGCUUACCAAGGCUUUGACGGGUAGCCGGCCUGAGAGGGUGACCGGCCACCUGGGGACUGAGAGACGGCCCAGACUCCUACGGGAGGCAGCAGUGGGGAAUAUUGCACAAUGGGCGGAAGCCUGAUGCAGCAACGCCGCGUGCGGGAUGACGGCCUACGGGUUGUAAACCGCUUUCGCCUGUGACGAAGCGUGAGUGACGGUAAUGGGUAAAGAAGCACCGGCUAACUACGUG